RNAcentral lists this ribosomal RNA (456 nucleotides) under Triticum aestivum (bread wheat). Its description in RNAcentral is "partial small subunit ribosomal RNA". The record is from RNAcentral. Lineage: Eukaryota; Viridiplantae; Streptophyta; Magnoliopsida; Poales; Poaceae.
AUGGAUGUAAAUUCUGACCUGCUGCACUCACCUCUUAGAGCGAUCAUUCCUAAGGCUAGUUACACUGAAAUAAAAGUCAUCAACCUUCUUUCGGACAACAACAAGGUCACUAUCUGCUCAGCAAAAGAAAUAGAAAUUAAGAGCAACAUUCAAGCACAACAUUCAAACACAAGCACAUCUCACCGGCUACACCAGAAAAGAUACAACCACAUGAUUAUAAAUAUCACAACCCAUACAUUACAAAUCUCCCCCCACAUAGAAACAGGUUCACUGAACUUUAUUUACAAACCACACAACAAAGCACAAACCAGAAGUUCCACUUGCACAACACAGGCAAUUCAUAGGGAUAUCAUGGACCAUAACCAACAACAAAAGGGAUGGGGAUGGGGCAAGAAGAGAGAAGCAUGCUCCUCUCUUUAUGGAUUCUUGCCUAUACCAGUCGCAGCACUGGAAUGA